Molecule: long non-coding RNA, 1312 nt
Filed under: Piliocolobus tephrosceles (Ugandan red Colobus)
Lineage: Eukaryota; Metazoa; Chordata; Mammalia; Primates; Cercopithecidae
Description: lncRNA (ENSPTEG00000002585.1)
Source: RNAcentral
UUAUAUAAAAAAAAAAUAUUUAAAAUAUUAUUAUACACAAUUAAAUUUUUUAUUAUUCAGAAUUUUUUAUAAUGAAAAAAAUAUACCCUAUUUUUUAAAAAUAUUUUUUAGCACAUUAUAUAUUAUAUCUUUUAAAAAAACGAAUAAAGAUAUUUUAUAUUUUUUCGACAAGAUAUUCUACUUUAGUAAAAAUGACGAAUUAGUUCAACUUAAAAAAAGAAAAGAUAGUGUUGUUAAUUAUGAGUUAGACGUUAAAAAAGAGGAUGAAGAAACGGGAGAAGUAGAAAAACACAAAGAGGUAUUCUCCCCAAAAGACGUGUUGUAUAGUAAUAUAGAGGAAACAAACAAAAAAUAUAUCUAUCCUGGAAAACAAACAAAAACAAACAAAAAUGUGAAAAAAAACAAUAAUUCAGAUGAUUCAGAAAUUGAAGCAUCAAGUGUUGCUGCUAGUACUAACAGUAGUAACAAAGCGAAAACAAAUGAUCAACAUGUGCUAACUAAACAAACAAAGGAAAAAUUAAAUAAUAAAAUUGAGGAGAAAAAAAAAAGGAAUAAUUCUUCUUCUAACGUACCAAAAAAAAAUUAUAUUGCAUUAUCUGAUAGUUUAAGUGAGACUUCUACUUCGGAUUCAGACAGUACAUAUGUACCGAGUCUUUAUGAUACUAAUAAGCGUAAAAAAAAAGCCAACGUAGAUGGAAAUGACAAUAAUAAACGAAAGAAGUCGAUGGACAAAAGUCAUACUAAUGCGACAACGUUAAGAACUUUAAAAACAACAAAAAAUAAUAAAAAAACGAAUAUUGAUAAUAGUAAUAAUACUAGUAAUAAUAAUAAUACUAGUAAUAAUAAUAAUAAUAAUAAUAAUAAUAAUAGUAAUAAUAAUAAUAAUAACGACGAUAGUGCACAUGACAAUAAUACCUAUAACAUCAGUGAAAAUAAUAAUAAUAAUAAUAAUAACUACAAAAUCAGUGGAAAUGAUAACAAAGAACUGAAUCUCAAAACGAAAAGACAUAUGAGCGAAUCAUUACCAAAAGUGCAGUUACUAAAACAGACUAGCAAUAUAAACCAAAAAAUUCAACAAAAUGAUAUAGAAGAAGUAAAAAAAAAUGCAAGUUCGAACUCGAACUAUGCAGAGAGCUUUGAAUUUAAUGGAGUUCCAUCAAUAAAAAUUUUAAAUAAUUUUUUACAUUUGUGUAAACAAUUUCAUAAAGAUUUGGAACUAAAGAUAUACAAUGGAGUAAUCGCAAAUUUAAAAGAAAAUAUAAAUGACAAAGAAAAGUUAAAAAAUUUUUUAAGGACAAAUUUUAACAAUAAG